AUUGAACGCUGGCGGCAUGCCUUACACAUGCAAGUCGAACGGCAGCACGGGAGCAAUCCUGGUGGCGAGUGGCGAACGGGUGAGUAAUAUAUCGGAACGUGCCCAGUCGUGGGGAUAACGUAGCGAAAGCUACGCUAAUACCGCAUACGAUCUAUGGAUGAAAGCGGGGGAUCGCAAGACCUCGCGCGAUUGGAGCGGCCGAUAUCAGAUUAGGUAGUUGGUGAGGUAAAGGCUCACCAAGCCGACGAUCUGUAGCUGGUCUGAGAGGACGACCAGCCACACUGGGACUGAGACACGGCCUAGACUCCUACGGGAGGCAGCAGUGGGGAAUUUUGGACAAUGGGCGCAAGCCUGAUCCAGCAAUGCCGCGUGCAGGAUGAAGGCCU
RNAcentral lists this ribosomal RNA (386 nucleotides) under uncultured bacterium. RNAcentral describes it as "bacterial SSU rRNA". It matches the Rfam family "Bacterial small subunit ribosomal RNA", at positions 30 to 417 of the family's 1533-position model. The record is from RNAcentral.